GUGUGGAAGGACUCUCUGAGUGUCGCCUUG
RNAcentral lists this non-coding RNA (30 nucleotides) under Cricetulus griseus (Chinese hamster). Lineage: Eukaryota; Metazoa; Chordata; Mammalia; Rodentia; Cricetidae. The record is from RNAcentral.